RNAcentral lists this ribosomal RNA (111 nucleotides) under Panonychus citri (citrus red mite). RNAcentral's name for it is "partial 5.8S ribosomal RNA". It matches the Rfam family "5.8S ribosomal RNA", at positions 40 to 149 of the family's 154-position model. From Rfam's summary of the family: 5.8S ribosomal RNA (5.8S rRNA) is a component of the large subunit of the eukaryotic ribosome. It is transcribed by RNA polymerase I as part of the 45S precursor that also contains 18S and 28S rRNA. The record is from RNAcentral. Lineage: Eukaryota; Metazoa; Arthropoda; Arachnida; Trombidiformes; Tetranychidae.
GAGACGUAGCUAGCUACGAUAACCGGUGCGAAUCGCAAGAUACGCCGAGCACUUGAACUUCCAACGCACAUUGCGGCUUUCAGUUUAUUCUGAAGUCACAUCUGUCUGAGA